Molecule: ribosomal RNA, 460 nt
Filed under: uncultured bacterium
Lineage: Bacteria
Description: partial 16S ribosomal RNA
Rfam family: Bacterial small subunit ribosomal RNA
Source: RNAcentral
CCUACGGGUGGCAGCAGUGAGGAAUAUUGGUCAAUGGACGCGAGUCUGAACCAGCCAAGUAGCGUGCAGGAUGACGGCCCUAUGGGUUGUAAACUGCUUUUAUAUGGGAAUAAAAUGAGACACGUGUGGGUGUUUGUAUGUAUCAUAUGAAUAAGGAUCGGCUAACUCCGUGCCAGCAGCCGCGGUAAUACGGAGGAUUCGAGCGUUAUCCGGAUUUAUUGGGUUUAAAGGGAGCGUAGGUGGAUGGUUAAGUUAGAUGUGAAAGUCUGCGGCUCAACCUUGAAAUUGCAGUUGAAACUGGCAGUCUUGAGUACAGUAGAGGUAGGCGGAAUUCGUGGUGUAGCGGUGAAAUGCUUAGAUAUCACGAAGAACUCCGAUUGCGAAGGCAGCUCACUGGGCUGCAACUGACGCUGAGGCUCGAAAGUGUGGGUAUCAAACAGGAUUAGAUACCCGGGUAGUC